This 347-nucleotide ribosomal RNA is filed under the name uncultured bacterium. RNAcentral's name for it is "partial 16S ribosomal RNA". It matches the Rfam family "Bacterial small subunit ribosomal RNA", at positions 338 to 682 of the family's 1533-position model. The record is from RNAcentral.
CCUACGGGUGGCAGCAGUGAGGAAUAUUGGUCAAUGGCCGGAAGGCUGAACCAGCCAUGCCGCGUGAGGGAAGACGGUCCUAUGGAUUGUAAACCUCUGUUGUCGGGGAGCAAAAAGGCCUCGUGAGGCCACAAGUGAGAGGACCCGAAGAAAAAGCAUCGGCUCACUCCGUGCCAGCAGCCGCGGUAAUACGGAGGCUGCGAGCGUGAUCCGGAUUGAUUGGGUUUAAAGGGUGCGUAGGCGGACUGGAAAGUCAGCGGGAAAAUCGAGAGGCUCAACCUCUUUCCGCCGUUGAAACUGUCGGUCUUGCGUGGGCGAGCAGUAUGCGGAAUGCGUGGUGUAGCGGU